RNAcentral lists this ribosomal RNA (816 nucleotides) under uncultured bacterium. RNAcentral's name for it is "bacterial SSU rRNA". It matches the Rfam family "Bacterial small subunit ribosomal RNA", at positions 8 to 853 of the family's 1533-position model. The record is from RNAcentral.
AGAGUUUGAUCCUGGCUCAGGAUGAACGCUGGCGGCGUGCCUAACACAUGCAAGUCGAGCGAUCUUCUUCGGAAGAGAGCGGCGGACGGGUGAGUAACGCGUGGGUAACCUGCCCUGUACACACGGAUAACAUACCGAAAGGUAUGCUAAUACGAGAUAAUAUGCUUUUAUCGCAUGGUAGAAGUAUCAAAGCUCCGGCGGUACAGGAUGGACCCGCGUCUGAUUAGCUAGUUGGUAAGGUAACGGCUUACCAAGGCGACGAUCAGUAGCCGACCUGAGAGGGUGAUCGGCCACAUUGGAACUGAGACACGGUCCAAACUCCUACGGGAGGCAGCAGUGGGGAAUAUUGCACAAUGGGCGAAAGCCUGAUGCAGCAACGCCGCGUGAGCGAUGAAGGCCUUCGGGUCGUAAAGCUCUGUCCUCAAGGAAGACAAUGACGGUACUUGAGGAGGAAGCCCCGGCUAACUACGUGCCAGCAGCCGCGGUAAUACGUAGGGGGCUAGCGUUAUCCGGAAUUACUGGGCGUAAAGGGUGCGUAGGUGGUUUCUUAAGUCAGAGGUGAAAGGCUACGGCUCAACCGUAGUAAGCCUUUGAAACUGGGAAACUUGAGUGCAGGAGAGGAGAGUGGAAUUCCUAGUGUAGCGGUGAAAUGCGUAGAUAUUAGGAGGAACACCAGUUGCGAAGGCGGCUCUCUGGACUGUAACUGACACUGAGGCACGAAAGCGUGGGGAGCAAACAGGAUUAGAUACCCUGGUAGUCCACGCCGUAAACGAUGAGUACUAGCUGUCGGAGGUUACCCCCUUCGGUGGCGCAGCU